This is a long non-coding RNA of Callithrix jacchus (white-tufted-ear marmoset), 627 nucleotides long. RefSeq lists it as uncharacterized. The record is from RefSeq and is a predicted model, not a curated record. NCBI's taxonomy places the organism in Eukaryota, Metazoa, Chordata, Mammalia, Primates, Cebidae.
CCCUCCAGACCUCGCCUUUUCUAUCUCCUUUUUUUCUGGCGCGUGCUCUCUUCCAGGUUUGGGACCCUCUCGCUGGACGAGAUUCCCGGGCUCACGUUCAGUUCACAACAUAACCACUGGGCUUGGAAGAGGAUGCUGAACCCUAGACCUGAAUGUCCACCUGAACAUCCCACCGGCACCUCCAAAUCAACAUGCCCAAAGUGGGUGAGAACAGGGCAAUAGUGACGUGGAUGGAUUGUGGAAAUGUUUAGCAGGGUUGUGUUUGCUCCAGGCAUUUGGCAUUGGGCCUGCACUGGAUAAAAGCAAGCAGCUCCAGCGUCUGGGGCUGCCUCUCUGGCCACUAGAGCCAGGCAUUCCCCUCGCUGCUCUUACACUGCAUGCCCGGGGCUUCAUGGCUGGGCGAAGUGUGGAUUGCCUGACCUCAGGAGUUCGAGACCAACCUAGACAACAUGGUGAAACUCCAUCUCUACUAAAAUACAAAAAAUUAGCCGAAAGUGGUCAUGCGCCUGUGAUCCCAGCUGCUCAGGAUGCUGAGGCAGGAGAAUCGCUUGAACCUGGGAGACAGAGGUUGCAGUGAGCCGAGAUUGGGCCCCUGCACUCCAGCCUGGGCGACAGAGCAAGACUCCA